AGAUAUUAUCCGCCAGGGACUACAAGCGCUACGUUAAAACCCAAAGGACUUGGCGACGCCUUAGAUCCCCCUAGAGGAGCCCGUUCUAUAACCGAUGAUCCUCGUUAAACCUCACCACUCCUUGUAAAAUCCAGCCUAUAUACCGCCGUCGUCAGCUUACCUUGUGAAGGGACAGUAGUAAGCUCAAUGGGUAUGGCCCAGAACGUCAGGUCGAGGUGUAGCUAAUGGGGUGGGAAGAAAUGGGCUACGUUUUCUGGUUCAGAAUAUUACGGAUAAUGCUUUGAAACAAGCAUUGUGAAGGUGGAUUUAGCAGUAAAGAGAGAA
This 324-nucleotide ribosomal RNA is filed under the name Albula vulpes (bonefish). Its description in RNAcentral is "partial 12S ribosomal RNA". It matches the Rfam family "Bacterial small subunit ribosomal RNA", at positions 860 to 1349 of the family's 1533-position model. The record is from RNAcentral. Lineage: Eukaryota; Metazoa; Chordata; Actinopteri; Albuliformes; Albulidae.